This 298-nucleotide ribosomal RNA is filed under the name uncultured bacterium. Its description in RNAcentral is "partial 16S ribosomal RNA". It matches the Rfam family "Bacterial small subunit ribosomal RNA", at positions 775 to 1067 of the family's 1533-position model. The record is from RNAcentral.
GGAUUAGAUACCCUGGUAGUCCUGGCCCUAAACGGUGCGCACUUGCUGUGAGUGGAUUUAAAACCCACUCGUGGCGAAGUUAACACGAUAAGUGCGCCGCCUGAGGAGUACGGUCGCAAGAUUAAAACUCAAAGAAAUUGACGGGGGCCUGCACAAGCGGAGGAGUAUGUGGCUUAAUUCGAUGCAACGCGAAGAACCUUACCUGGUCUUGACAUGCAUGUGGUAGAAGCCUGAAAGGGUAACGACCUCGCAAGAGGAGCGUGCACAGGUGCUGCAUGGCUGUCGUCAGCUCGUGCCG